RNAcentral lists this transfer RNA (77 nucleotides) under Saprospiraceae bacterium. RNAcentral's name for it is "tRNA-Arg". It matches the Rfam family "tRNA". Rfam says of the family: Transfer RNA (tRNA) molecules are approximately 80 nucleotides in length. Their secondary structure includes four short double-helical elements and three loops (D, anti-codon, and T loops). The record is from RNAcentral. Lineage: Bacteria; Pseudomonadati; Bacteroidota; Saprospiria; Saprospirales; Saprospiraceae.
GGCUCCGUAGCUUAAUUGGAUAAAGCAUCUGACUACGAAUCAGAAGAUUACAGGUUCGAGUCCUGUCGGAGUCACCA